This 786-nucleotide ribosomal RNA is filed under the name Triticum aestivum (bread wheat). RNAcentral's name for it is "partial small subunit ribosomal RNA". Lineage: Eukaryota; Viridiplantae; Streptophyta; Magnoliopsida; Poales; Poaceae. The record is from RNAcentral.
AUGGCCACCAGCAACGAGUUAUCGAUGAAGCUCCUGAUCGAAGGCAAGUCUCAGAAGGUGUGCUUCGCCGAGGCCGGCAGCGAGUUCGUCGAGUUCCUCACCGGCCUCCUGUCCCUACCGCUAGGCACCGUCACCACCCUCCUGACCAAGGAGCGCAUGUCGGGCAGCAUCGGCAACGUGCUCGGCAGCAUGGAGAAGCUGGACGCAAGCUACAAGAGCAGCGAGCUGCCCCUCAGCCCGGCGGUCGCCCCCGCCGCGCUCUCCCGCCUGCAGCAGCUGCUGGGUGUGCAGCUCGGCAACGCCAACAACAACAACACCGACGGCGUCACCUAUUUAUACACUUGUGAAGGUAAAAAGCAAGCUCCCCCGGGCUACUUGGCGUUCCAAGACAGUGGCACUGACGUCUGCUCAAAAUUCUUCUCGGCGGCCAGCGGCGGCGUCUGCCCCAGCUGCUCGCGGCCGAUGAACACGUGUGGGGGGCACAUACUUGUGGAAGCCAAGGGGUCCGCGGCCACGACGACUCCGCUGCAGCCGACAUACACUGUCGGGGACGACCUCUCCGUGGCUCCGGCGUCCAACGUGGUGUCGGGCAUCACCCUGCUCGCGCGGUGCGGCGUCAAGGACCUGAGCACCCUGCAGGAGAGGACGGUGAAGGUCGGCAAGGAAGAGGCACUGGGGAUACUCGCUGCUUCGCUCACGUCCAAGACCAUGCUGACUGACGUCUUUCUGCCCAAGAAGAAUGCUCGCUGCAAAAGGGAAGCUCCCGAGGAAGUCAUUCAUAUAUGA